Molecule: ribosomal RNA, 2896 nt
Filed under: Clostridioides difficile
Lineage: Bacteria; Bacillati; Bacillota; Clostridia; Peptostreptococcales; Peptostreptococcaceae
Description: bacterial LSU rRNA
Rfam family: Bacterial large subunit ribosomal RNA
Source: RNAcentral
UCAAGUUAUUAAGGGUGCAGGGCGGAUGCCUUGGCACUAGGAGCCGAUGAAGGACGUGAUAAGCUGCGAUAAGCUUCGGGGAGUUGCACGUAAACUUUGAUCCGAAGAUUUCCGAAUGAGGAAACUCACUUAGAGUAAUGUCUAAGUAUCAUUAAGUGAAUACAUAGCUUAAUGAGGGGAACUCAGGGAACUGAAACAUCUAAGUACCUGAAGGAAGAGAAAGAAAUUCGAUUCCGUAAGUAGCGGCGAGCGAACGCGGAUUAGCCCAAACCAAUAAAGAAAACUUUAUUGGGGUUGCGGACAUAUCAUAACGAAGAGGUAUCGUAAUUGAAGAGGUUUGGAAAGACCCACCACAGAAGGUAAUAGUCCUGUAUUUUAAACGAGAAGACUUCAGAUAUGAUCCAGAGUACCACGGGACACGUGAAACCCUGUGGGAAGCAGGAGGGACCACCCUCCAAGGCUAAAUACUACCUAGUGACCGAUAGCGUAUAGUACCGUGAGGGAAAGGUGAAAAGAACCCCGGGAGGGGAGUGAAAUAGAACCUGAAACCCUGCACUUACAAGCUGUGGAAGCACAUUUCUUGUGUGACCGCGUACUUUUUGUAGAACGGGCCAACGAGUUACGUUAAGUAGCAAGGUUAAGCACUUAAGGUGCGGAGCCGUAGCGAAAGCGAGUUUUAACUGAGCGUUCAGUUACUUGACGUAGACCCGAAACCGGGCGACCUACCCAUGAGCAGGAUGAAGCGAAAGUAAAAUUUCGUGGAGGUCCGAACCCACGAGCGUUGAAAAGCUCGGGGAUGACUUGUGGAUAGCGGUGAAAUUCCAAUCGAGCCCGGAGAUAGCUGGUUCUCCCCGAAAUAGCUUUAGGGCUAGCCUCAAGGUGAGAGAUACGGAGGUAGAGCACUGAAUGUCCUAGGGGGUAUUGCACCUACCGAAGACUAUCAAACUCCGAAUGCCGUCAUCUUAUACUUGGGAGUCAGACUGUGGGUGAUAAGAUUCAUAGUCGAAAGGGCAACAGCCCAGAUCGUCAGCUAAGGUCCCUAAAUGUAAGUUAAGUGGUAAAGGAUGUGGGAUUGCACAGACAACCAGGAUGUUGGCUUAGAAGCAGCCACUCAUUCAAAGAGUGCGUAAUAGCUCACUGGUCGAGUGAUCCUGCGCCGAAGAUUUCCGGGGCUAAAACUUACUACCGAAGCUACGGCAUCAGUAAUGAUGGGUAGGGGAGCUUCCCAUACGGGUUGAAGCGUGACCGUAAGGACAUGUGGACAGUAUGGGAGUGAGAAUGUUGGCAUGAGUAGCGAGAUGUGGGUGAGAAUCCCACAGGCCGUAAACCCAAGGUUUCCAGGGGAAGGUUCGUCCGCCCUGGGUUAGUCGGGACCUAAGCUGAGGCCGAAAGGCGUAGGUGAUGGACAACAGGUUGAUAUUCCUGUACUACCGAUAACCGUUUGAGAGAAGGGAUGACACAGUAGGAUAAGCUAAGCACACUGUUGGUUAUGUGUGCCCAAGCAUUGAGGCAGUCAAAGUAGGCAAAUCCGCUUUGAUAAUGCUGGGAUGUGAUGGGGAGCGAAAUUUAGUAGCGAAGUAGCUGAUUUCACACUGUCAAGAAAAGUCUCUAUCGAGGUUAAAGGUACCCGUACCGCAAACCGACACAGGUGGGUGAGGAGAGUAUCCUAAGGCCAGCGAGAGAACUGUUGUUAAGGAACUCGGCAAAAUGACCCCGUAACUUAGGGAUAAGGGGUGCCACCAUCAGGUGGCCGCAGAGAAUAGGCCCAAGCGACUGUUUACCAAAAACAUAGGUUUCUGCUAAGUCGCAAGACGAUGUAUAGGAGCUGACGCCUGCCCGGUGCUGGAAGGUUAAGGGGAUCUGUUAGAGCAAUCGAAGCAGUGAACUUAAGCCCCAGUAAACGGCGGCCGUAACUAUAACGGUCCUAAGGUAGCGAAAUUCCUUGUCGGGUAAGUUCCGACCCGCACGAAAGGCGUAACGAUUUGGGCACUGUCUCAACAACAGACUCGGUGAAAUUGUAAUUCCGGUGAAGAUGCCGGAUACCUGCGACAGGACGGAAAGACCCCAUGGAGCUUUACUGUAGCUUGACAUUGGGUCUUGGUACUACAUGUACAGGAUAGGUGGGAGGCUUUGAAACCAGGACGCCAGUUUUGGCGGAGCCAUCCUUGGGAUACCACCCUUGUAGUACUGGGACUCUAACCAUAGGCCAUGAAUCUGGUCUUGGGACACUGUCAGGUGGGCAGUUUGACUGGGGCGGUCGCCUCCCAAAAGGUAACGGAGGCGCUCAAAGGUUCUCUCAGUACGGUCGGAAAUCGUACGUAGAGUGUAAAGGCAAAAGAGAGCUUGAUUGCAAGACAUACAGGUCGAGCAAGGAUGAAAAUCGGACUUAGUGAUCCGGUGGUUCUGCGUGGAAGGGCCAUCGCUCAACGGAUAAAAGCUACCCUGGGGAUAACAGGCUUAUCUCCCCCAAGAGUCCACAUCGACGGGGAGGUUUGGCACCUCGAUGUCGGCUCAUCACAUCCUGGGGCUGUAGUAGGUUCCAAGGGUUGGGCUGUUCGCCCAUUAAAGUGGUACGCGAGCUGGGUUCAGAACGUCGUGAGACAGUUCGGUCCCUAUCCGUCGCAGGCGUAGGAAAUUUGAGAAGACCUGUCCUUAGUACGAGAGGACCGGGAUGGACGUACCUCUGGUGUACCAGUUGUUCUGCCAAGGGCAUGGCUGGGUAGCUAUGUACGGAAUGGAUAAGCGCUGAAAGCAUCUAAGCGCGAAGCCAACUUCAAGAUAAGAUUUCCCACCGCAAGGGUAAGACCCCAGAAAGACUAUCUGGUUGAUAGGUCGAAGGUGUAAGUGCAGCAAUGUAUUUAGCUUAUCGAUACUAAUAGGUCGAGGACUUGACCAA